UGCGUAGGCGGAUAGAUAAGUCAGAGGUGAAAGCCUCCCGCUCAACGGGAGAACUGCCUUUGAUACUGUUUAUCUUGAAUGAGGUUGAGGUUAGCGGAAUGUGACAUGUAGCGAUGAAAUGCAUAGAUAUGUCAUAGAACACCAAUUGCGUAGGCAGCUAGCUAGGCCUUUAUUGACACUGAGGCACGAAAGCGUGGGGAGCGAACAGGAUUAGAUACCCUGGUAGUCC
Molecule: ribosomal RNA, 229 nt
Filed under: uncultured bacterium
Lineage: Bacteria
Description: partial 16S ribosomal RNA
Rfam family: Bacterial small subunit ribosomal RNA
Source: RNAcentral